GUGAGGAAUAUUGGUCAAUGGGCGAGAGCCUGAACCAGCCAAGUCGCGUGAAGGAAGAAGGAUCUAUGGUUCGUAAACUUCUUUUGCAGGGGAAUAAAGUGCAGGACGUGUCCUGUUUUGUAUGUACCCUGAGAAUAAGGAUCGGCUAACUCCGUGCCAGCAGCCGCGGUAAUACGGAGGACCCGAGCGUUAUCCGGAUUUAUUGGGUUUAAAGGGUGCGUAGGUGGUUUGAUAAGUCAGCGGUGAAAGUUUGCAGCUUAACUGUAAAAAUGCCGUUGAAACUGUCGGACUUGAGUGUAAAUGAGGUAGGCGGAAUGCGUGGUGUAGCGGUGAAAUGCAUAGAUAUCACGCAGAACUCCGAUUGCGAAGGCAGCUUACUAAGCUACAACUGACACUGAAGCACGAAAGCGUGGGGAUCAAACAGGAUUAGAUACCCUUGUAGUCC
This 445-nucleotide ribosomal RNA is filed under the name uncultured bacterium. Its description in RNAcentral is "partial 16S ribosomal RNA". It matches the Rfam family "Bacterial small subunit ribosomal RNA", at positions 354 to 796 of the family's 1533-position model. The record is from RNAcentral.